UACGGAGGCUGCGAGCGUUAUCCGGAUUUAUUGGGUUUAAAGGGUGCGUAGGCGGGUUAUCAAGUCAGCGGUAAAAUCGUGGGGCUCAACCCCAUCCAGCCGUUGAAACUGGGGAUCUAGAGUGUGCGAGAGGUAUGCGGAAUGCGUGGUGUAGCGGUGAAAUGCAUAGAUAUCACGCAGAACGCCGAUUGCGAAGGCAGCAUACCGGUGCACAACUGACGCUCAGGCACGAAAGCGUGGGUAUCGAACAGG
This 252-nucleotide ribosomal RNA is filed under the name uncultured bacterium. RNAcentral describes it as "partial 16S ribosomal RNA". It matches the Rfam family "Bacterial small subunit ribosomal RNA", at positions 524 to 776 of the family's 1533-position model. The record is from RNAcentral.